GACGAACGCUGGCGGCGUGGAUUAGGCAUGCAAGUCGAACGGUAUCAUCCUUUCGGGGGUGAGAGAGUGGCGAACUGGUGAGUAACACGUAGGUUAUCUACCCUCAAGACGGGGACAACCCAGGGAAACUUGGGCUAAUACCGGAUGUGAGCAACUUUUAGUUGUUUGAAAGGUGGCGUAAGCUGUCGCUUGGGGAUGAGCCUGCGUCCUAUUAGUUAGUUGGUGAGGUAACGGCUCACCUAGGCAAUGAUAGGUAGGCGGCCUUAACGGGUGGUCGCCCACACUGGGAUUGAGAUACGGCCCAGACUCCUACGGGAGGCAGCAGUCGAGAAUAGUCUACAAUGGUCGGAAGACUGAUAGUGCGACGCCGCGUGAACGAUGAAUCCCUUCGGGGUGUAAAGUUCUUUUAUAUGUGAGCAGUGCUUCUUAUAUUAACAGUAUGGGGAAGAGAUAUUAGCAUAUGAAUAAGCAACGGCUAACUCCGUGCCAGCCAGCCGGGU
Molecule: ribosomal RNA, 500 nt
Filed under: uncultured bacterium
Lineage: Bacteria
Description: bacterial SSU rRNA
Rfam family: Bacterial small subunit ribosomal RNA
Source: RNAcentral